AGUGAACGCUGGCGGUAGGCCUAACACAUGCAAGUCGAACGGCAGCACAGUAAGAGCUUGCUCUUACGGGUGGCGAGUGGCGGACGGGUGAGGAAUACAUCGGAAUCUACUUUUUUGUGGGGGAUAACGUAGGGAAACUUACGCUAAUACCGCAUACGACCUACGGGUGAAAGCAGGGGAUCUUCGGACCUUGCGCGAUUGAAUGAGCCGAUUUCGGAUUAGCUGGUUGGCGGGGUAAAGGCCCACCAAGGCGACGAUCCGUAGCUGGUCUGAGAGGAUGAUCAGCCACACUGGAACUGAGACACGGUCCAGACUCCUACGGGAGGCAGCAGUGGGGAAUAUUGGACAAUGGGCGCAAGCCUGAUCCAGCCAUACCGCGUGGGUGAAGAAGGCCUUCGGGUUGUAAAGCCCUUUUGUUGGGAAAGAAAAGCAGCAGGUUAAUACCCCGCUGUUCUGACGGUACCCAAAGAAUAAGCACCGGCUAACUUCGUG
RNAcentral lists this ribosomal RNA (492 nucleotides) under uncultured bacterium. RNAcentral describes it as "partial 16S ribosomal RNA". It matches the Rfam family "Bacterial small subunit ribosomal RNA", at positions 29 to 507 of the family's 1533-position model. The record is from RNAcentral.